UGCCAGCAGCCGCGGUAAUACGGAGGGUGCGAGCGUUAGCCGGAUUUAUUGGGUUUAAAGGGUGCGUAGGCGGAAUAAUAAGUCAGUGGUGAAAUCCUGCGGCUCAACCGUAGAACUGCCAUUGAUACUGUUAUUCUUGAAUUUAGUUGAGGUAGGCGGAAUGUGUAAUGUAGCGGUGAAAUGCUUAGAUAUUACACAGAACACCGAUUGCGAAGGCAGCUUACUAAACUAACAUUGACGCUGAUGCACGAAAGCGUGGGGAGCGAACAGGAUUAGAUA
Molecule: ribosomal RNA, 279 nt
Filed under: uncultured bacterium
Lineage: Bacteria
Description: partial 16S ribosomal RNA
Rfam family: Bacterial small subunit ribosomal RNA
Source: RNAcentral